Molecule: transfer RNA, 77 nt
Filed under: Nonomuraea sp. KC401
Lineage: Bacteria; Bacillati; Actinomycetota; Actinomycetes; Streptosporangiales; Streptosporangiaceae
Description: tRNA-Glu
Source: RNAcentral
AUUGCGUUAGCAUCCGACACAAGAGCCACUGACUCUCAAUCCGUAGGUUCCGGGUUCGAGCCCCGGGCGCCCUACCA